This 4345-nucleotide long non-coding RNA is filed under the name Salmo salar (Atlantic salmon). Its description in RNAcentral is "lncRNA (ENSSSAG00000089200.1)". Lineage: Eukaryota; Metazoa; Chordata; Actinopteri; Salmoniformes; Salmonidae. The record is from RNAcentral.
CUUGAAGGCUCCUCUUUCAACUAUUGUACUCUCCUUGUGUGCAGUGUAUGCAAUUGCAUCCCUCCUCCUCCCAUUCUUUGCCUUCAGUCUAGUACCUCAUAGGUUCUUCUGAGGAUCUUCUGAUGACACGACAAACACUAGCAUUACCUGCAGCCCUUGGCUUCCUCUCUUCCAGAAUCCUCAUUAUUAAUUCCAUCCUGAUGAAUGAGAGCACACCCAGACAUGCUUCAGCUCAGAUUGUAUAAAAAGAGAAAAAGGUGCUCUACUGAGGAUUUAGAAAUCCAAAAAGAAACAUCUUACCCCAGGACCCUUCACAGGAUCACUAUCCCAGAAAACUGGUUGGUUAAUGAGUUGAGGUCAAGGAUCACAGCAGGCAGGCCUACUUCUAUCCCUGCUCAACCCCGCUUUAUCUCGGCCUCGGAGGAGACUUGGAUCCCGAGGCAGAGGAUGGUGUGCAAGGAGGGUAGAGUGGAGACAGGCGUCUCUUGAGUUGGAUGUGACCUGAUGCGACGUGCACUUGCGUCUGCCUCCAUGGAAGAUCAUUUUUCCACAUCAAGAGCGGUCAAUGUUAACCUUAUUGUUUUGUUUUUCUUCUUUUGUCAGUGGGUUUUGAGAUUAUUUUUGCAAUGACAAGCACUAUAAAAAAUUCUAGAUCAUUACCGUUUGUCUAUUGUAAUUUAUCUUGGUUUAUUAGACACUUUUAUUUGAAUGAUUGAUCUAUUUAAGUUAAUGUUUCUAACUAAGCAUCGGUGUGCAUCUGCACAGGGAAACUAAAUAGUGAGUUGAAGGGGAUGAUGCUGCUAAUUUCCUUUGGGUAGGCUUUUCAAUUCAUUUACAAAAUGAAUGCAUCCAUAAGAAAAAAUAUGCUGAAAAAAUAUACUGUCUUGUAAAAAAGCAGGAUGACAUCAUUAGAAUUGUAUAUAUAUAUUUAUAAACUUGGUUCAAGCCCUGAAUGCUGCUUGGCUGACAGCCGUGGUAUAUCAGACCCUAUACCAUUGGUAUGACAAAACAUUUAUUUUUACUGCUCUAAUUAUGUUGGUAACCAGUUCAUAAUAGCAUGAAGGCACCUAGGGCAUUUGUGGUAUAUGGCCAAUAUCCAGGCACUCCGCGUUGCAUCGAGAUUAGAACAGCCCUUGGCCGUGGUAUUUUGACCAUAAACCACACCCCCUCGUGCCUUAUUGCUUAAAUAUCAAAGUCAAUAACUAAGAAGAUAGCACUAAGCCCACACAUAUCCAACAUUUAUCCAAUCUCGGGAAUUCUAAAACCAUUAUUCCAAUCAUAUCAAAAACAGACACUCGGAGGAAACUUCGACCGCAAACACUCUGAAAUGCAAAGCAGGCCUACAUCUCAAAACAAGUGCCACAAGUGUCAACGUUUGACAUCGAGUUACAGACAUUGUUUUGACUGUACACUAUACUGUAUUUACACAGACAACAAAGACCGAAUAAAUAUUCAAAGGUAGCACAUCUCUGAAUUUGACAAAUCACGCCUGAAGUAGCUGUCCUCCGCAGGCAAGGCGUAUACAUAGUCUGAUGUGCCAUAAGGUGCGUAUUCUGGAGUGGAGACGCUCUCCUGGAGGUUGCAGUUCUGGUAGUGGUAGUGCUCUGGAACAAACCCAUAACUCAAGUCCAGCCUCGUCGGAGAGUUGUAACACGACGAAGAGUAAGACUCCUGUGGCGAAUAACUAUUGUAAUCGACCGGACUUGACAUAUUCAGGGAACCUGAUGGUGAGCUGGGAGCCUGAAAAACAAGCCAGAUGAGAUGUGCAUUACUAUUGUAGUACAGUAUAACGAAACCAUUUCCUAUUCCAAGCCAAAUCUCUGAAUGAACAAACAGCCUGAGCUUUGACAAAUAUUUCAUAUGACCGUGCGUAAUUGCAAAGACAGGAGAUUGCACAACUGAAUUUGAAUAAAGCAUACCAUGCCAUGGCCGUAAUAGCCCAUAUUCGGGGAGUGAUUUUCCUGGCGCCAAAGUGUUGUUGAGGUAGCGGGAUGCAGAAUACCACUGCUGUAGGUCUCGUUGGGGAUCAUCAUGCUUAUCAAGUGUUGAUUAUCGAAGCUGUCCUUCUGGACGUUGCUCUCUGGAAUGGACCGCGGCUGAAAGAUGCAGUUGGAAUUCAUCUCUUCAGGGAAAUAAUCAAAGUAAUGGCCUUUAGGAAUGAACGAGAAGGAUCAGUCAGAGGGUGCAUACAUAAACACAUGCAGGGAGACAUGUAAAUAAGUGAAGACUCCAGAAGUGAUGUCACAGCACCACCAGCCAACAGCUAAAAAACACAUUUGAAUGCAAGUUUAUAAAAAGGUCCCAGUACACUGCACUUUAGGAAUGUGGGUCAGUGUCAAUUGUAUACAAAGAUAUAUGUUCCAACUAUUCUGCUGUGGUCGUUGAUUCUCCAUGAGGAACGUAAAAAAGAACCAUGAUCCGAAGAAAAAAUAAUGAUAAACUUACCAGACAUGUUGUACAAAUUAAGAAGGAGUGCUGGAAGAAGAGCAGUUAUGAGAUUCCACAAUGUCCUUUUCUGGCUCAGUUAUAUGGGCUAUAACGAAAUAUUCAUAAAAGUCACACAAAUUCUCAACACACAAGUCUUAAAACUGUCUCAGAGCAUACAAUAAUAUCCUAAUAUAGCUAGGGAUAUAUUAGUUUGUGAAAUUUUCUCUCCAUGCCUACUUUUUAAAACCCCUAGAACUCAAUGAUUUGACAAUGAUUUGAUUGCGCGUUACUUUCAAUUUGAAUAUUCAAAGGCUACUCAAAAAUACAGAUUUUUCAGUAUAAAUCAAUACAUAUGCACUUAAAAUAACAUUUAAUUUAAUAGAUUUUAAUAAUAUUUUAUACCCAAACCAAAAAGAAAUGGACAUUUUAAACAUUUUAUCCAUGUUUUGCCAAUCUGCCAUCAGGCCCUCUUCAUAAUGAGGCACUACAGGAAAGUAACGGUUAGAUGUUCUAUCUAAACAUGACCAACAAUUAAACAUCGCAGAUCAUAUGUAUAUCAGGAUGGAUGAGCACAUUAACACGUUAUUACCAUAUAUUUUUAGUCUUAUUUUAAACAAUAAACUAUUAAAUGUCUAGGUUGUGGGCGUGGCAUAUGGUAGCAGCCAUUUCUGCCAUCACUGACUCCGUUGCUCCCUCAGCAAUUCCAUGCUCCCCAUCACUGGAACUCACAUCACCCACGUCUUAUUAUAGUUGUUUUAGCAUUAUUUAGUUUAGUUACAUUAAUUAUAUAAUAUAAAGACUGAACGUUUUAGCCAUUCACAUGUCAAACCUGAUUUGACAUCCCAGGGCUAGGCUAUUAUAUACGAAUCGAGAAAACUAUUUACAAAUGAAUUGCAAUGCAAAAAAAUCGGUUUACAAACGUCUGAUAUAUUUUCAAUUCAAUGACAAGACUCUCGGAUUAGUCUACUUGUGUAGCCUUGGCCUACUUAGAUGUGGGCAAAGUCAUUUCAAUUGAUUAUUGGAAUAGGGUUACUGUCCAUACCUGUUUAAAUGUAUAAGAGUUCACAACUUAAUACAUAUGAUGUGAGAAAACAGCACAUUGCUUUAGAGAAAACCAUUUCCUAUAAAUGUUCUUCCAUUGCCAUUGUGAGCCUACAUUACAUUUGAAUAACAAUUUACAAACAUAUCAAACAAUGAACUCGAACUUAUUUUUAUAUAAUUGGUUUAUUUUACCUUUAUUUAACCAGGUAGACAAGUUGAGAACAAGUUCUCAUUUACAACUGCGACCUGGCCAAGAUAAAGCAAAGCAGUUCGACACAUACAGAGUUACACAUGGAAUAAAACAAACAUACAGUCAAUAAUACAGUAGAAAAAUAAGUCUAUAUACAAUGUGAGCAAAUGAGGUGAGAUAAGGGAGGGAAGGGCAAUAGUUUUAAUUAAAAUAGCUUAGAUUUCAGUUUUGGGGUAUCGAUCUAUCAUUAUCCUCACUCAUAUAUUGAGAAAAUGCACGUACACUAUCUGCCCAACACAAUCUAUGGCCUUUCCUGAUUUGUACUGGUAGGGGCCUAUACAAUGAUCCCUAUUAUGUAGGCCUAAAUCCCAUCAUCUCCACUGGGUAGUUGUAUUGACAAACUUCCAUAAAGUAGGACCUGGGUCCAUUAUCCUAACUACCAAGAAUAUUAUGCUAGUGCUCUCAUAGAAUAUCUAACGUUUGGCUUUUUUUAUUGAUUUAUUGCUGCCGUUGCAAUUCCCCCCAUGAAUUACGCUGAUAUCAUAAGAGAAGAGGUAACAUGAAACAACCGCGCCAUCUAGUGUAGGAUAUACGUUAGUAGGUUCUCCCUCAGUCUUAAUUCGAUGUAGUGGUGACAGAACAAAAUAUAACUCAACAAACGGAAAAGUCAUGUUUUUUUCAUGUGUC